CUGCGACCCCCCGUCGUGCGGCACUACCCCCUGAUUAUAUUCAUAUCAUUAAUC
RNAcentral lists this ribosomal RNA (54 nucleotides) under Anethum foeniculum (fennel). RNAcentral's name for it is "partial 28S ribosomal RNA". Lineage: Eukaryota; Viridiplantae; Streptophyta; Magnoliopsida; Apiales; Apiaceae. The record is from RNAcentral.